This 271-nucleotide unclassified non-coding RNA is filed under the name Melitaea cinxia (Glanville fritillary). RNAcentral's name for it is "misc RNA ENSMCXG00005001051.1". Lineage: Eukaryota; Metazoa; Arthropoda; Insecta; Lepidoptera; Nymphalidae. The record is from RNAcentral.
AAGAUUUUUUUUUCAGUUUUUACAAUAAAUAUCAGAUUCCUGGAGUAAUAGGUUGUAUUGAUGGAAGUCACUUUAAAAUUGUUAAGCCCAAAGCUGAAAUUGAGCAUCUAUAUUAUUGCAGGAAACAUUAUCACUCUUUGAAUGUACAGAUAGUGUGCGAUAUGAACUGUAAAAUACUUGCUAUCAAUGCAAAGUUCGGUGGUGCUACCCAUGAUGCCUUCAUUUGGGAAAAUAGUGAUAUAAAUGAUUAUAUGAAAUAUUUAUACCGGAG